Long non-coding RNA from Saccostrea echinata, 555 nucleotides. RefSeq lists it as uncharacterized. The transcript is spliced from 2 exons. The record is from RefSeq and is a predicted model, not a curated record. Lineage: Eukaryota; Metazoa; Mollusca; Bivalvia; Ostreida; Ostreidae.
UUACAAUUCAUUUACACAUCCCAAGUAAUGUAAGAGUAUUGCACUGUCCUUAUUAAAAAACCCUGUAAAUCAAGAAAAUACUUAUUUUUUAAGCAUUUACUUGACAGCAAUCCAUAACAAAUAUUAUGCAUGUUAGAGAAAUCCUACCUCUCCCAUGAGUGUAAUUAUCAAGCACUGGUCAAGACUCAAGAAAAAUUUUGAUAACAGAAAAUUGAAUGUCAAAUUAAAGAGAAAUUAAUGAGUUUUGAGUGUGAGGAGUUCGCAGAUAGCUAGAGCAUAGUGUUAUCUAUAUCCCUUGAGUAUUGGGCAAAUGGGUGAGCCUGUUGGAUUAAAAAUAGUUCUUGUUGGCCAUCACAGUUGGCUAGCCUAAGUUUUAAAAUAAAUUUGAUGAAAAGUCAUUAAAACUAAUUUGAUAUUGCAUUGUAGACUAAUCUUAUAUUAUAUAAAAUUGUUUAUUUAUAAAAACUAAUUUUAUGGGAUGGGGUGGAAUAAGCAUGUCCAUAUGAAUUUUAUAUUAAAACCUGUCAGACAUUAAAUCUCAACCAAAAAAAAAAA